RNAcentral lists this ribosomal RNA (725 nucleotides) under uncultured bacterium. RNAcentral describes it as "bacterial SSU rRNA". It matches the Rfam family "Bacterial small subunit ribosomal RNA", at positions 8 to 712 of the family's 1533-position model. The record is from RNAcentral.
AGAGUUGAUCCUGGCUCAGGACGAACGCUGGCGGCGUGCCUAAUACAUGCAAGUCGAGCGGGAUUAUAUCAGAAGCUUGCUUCUGAUAUAAUCUAGCGGCGGACGGGUGAGUAACACGUAGGCAACCUGCCCACAAGGCUGGGAUAACUACCGGAAACGGUAGCUAAUACCGGAUACAUCGUUUCCCUGCAUGGGGAGAUGAGGAAAGGCGGAGCAAUCUGUCACUUGUGGAUGGGCCUGCGGCGCAUUAGCUAGUUGGUGGGGUAAUGGCCUACCAAGGCGACGAUGCGUAGCCGACCUGAGAGGGUGAUCGGCCACACUGGGACUGAGACACGGCCCAGACUCCUACGGGAGGCAGCAGUAGGGAAUCUUCCGCAAUGGGCGAAAGCCUGACGGAGCAACGCCGCGUGAGUGAUGAAGGUUUUCGGAUCGUAAAGCUCUGUUGCCAGGGAAGAACGUCUUGUAGAGUAACUGCUAUGAGAGUGACGGUACCUGAGAAGAAAGCCCCGGCUAACUACGUGCCAGCAGCCGCGGUAAUACGUAGGGGGCAAGCGUUGUCCGGAAUUAUUGGGCGUAAAGCGCGCGCAGGCGGCUCUUUAAGUCUGGUGUUUAAUCCCGAGGCUCAACUUCGGGUCGCACUGGAAACUGGGGAGCUUGAGUGCAGAAGAGGAGAGUGGAAUUCCACGUGUAGCGGUGAAAUGCGUAGAUAUGUGGAGGAACACCAG